This 606-nucleotide ribosomal RNA is filed under the name Saccharomyces cerevisiae (brewer's yeast). RNAcentral describes it as "eukaryotic LSU rRNA". It matches the Rfam family "Eukaryotic large subunit ribosomal RNA", at positions 38 to 658 of the family's 3401-position model. Lineage: Eukaryota; Fungi; Ascomycota; Saccharomycetes; Saccharomycetales; Saccharomycetaceae. RNAcentral also lists the same sequence under 1 other name. The record is from RNAcentral.
GCAUAUCAAUAAGCGGAGGAAAAGAAACCAACCGGGAUUGCCUUAGUAACGGCGAGUGAAGCGGCAAAAGCUCAAAUUUGAAAUCUGGUACCUUCGGUGCCCGAGUUGUAAUUUGGAGAGGGCAACUUUGGGGCCGUUCCUUGUCUAUGUUCCUUGGAACAGGACGUCAUAGAGGGUGAGAAUCCCGUGUGGCGAGGAGUGCGGUUCUUUGUAAAGUGCCUUCGAAGAGUCGAGUUGUUUGGGAAUGCAGCUCUAAGUGGGUGGUAAAUUCCAUCUAAAGCUAAAUAUUGGCGAGAGACCGAUAGCGAACAAGUACAGUGAUGGAAAGAUGAAAAGAACUUUGAAAAGAGAGUGAAAAAGUACGUGAAAUUGUUGAAAGGGAAGGGCAUUUGAUCAGACAUGGUGUUUUGUGCCCUCUGCUCCUUGUGGGUAGGGGAAUCUCGCAUUUCACUGGGCCAGCAUCAGUUUUGGUGGCAGGAUAAAUCCAUAGGAAUGUAGCUUGCCUCGGUAAGUAUUAUAGCCUGUGGGAAUACUGCCAGCUGGGACUGAGGACUGCGACGUAAGUCAAGGAUGCUGGCAUAAUGGUUAUAUGCCGCCCGUCUUGAA